UUUUCUUGUGUAAACCCUAGCAUCGCCUUCUGCUUCAAUCAUUUUCCCUCAAUCGAUUGCGUCUCCCAAACCCUAACCAUUCAAAUCCACCGUUUCAUCUAUGCAUCUUCUAUCGUUUCAUCUCUUCCACUUGAAAGAACCCUAGAUAUGUUUACUCUAUGAUUGAGAAAGAAACCUGGUGUUUAUACAGGGUUAUCUAUCUCGUGAAUUUUUGAACGAAUGGUGAUGCUCGGCAAUAACACUAGCAAAUUUGUUCAUGGCGAUAGAUGAAUGAGUGUCGAUCUACGUUGGAGGGAUCUCUAUAUUGGGUGUUCUGUUUAACCAAACAACCUCUAGAAUAGCUCUGGUUGCUGAUGGCACCCGGUAUAUGUAUAGUCUUAUGAAUAGACGGGUGUAUUCCCUGCAUGUUGAUACUGGUUCAUGGCCAAUUUAUAAAGUGAAAAAGGAGGGAAGUUGAAUUACUUGGUUUAUGGGCCAUGUGUAAGGGAUUGAGAGAUCUGAAGCAAUAUAUGAUAUGCUGAAAGAGCAAAGAAGGCCGGUCUUAAGGCAAAAAUAUCCACCCUUCAGCUACAAGCACGUGAACAUUAAUCUUGGCGUUAUAUAAGCUUUGGUUGUGAAGAAACUAGAAGGUCUUUAGGGGAAUUAACAUUCCAGAUUCCAAAAUAUUUUUUAAUGAAUCGAUGACCUGAACCUGCCCUUGCCAGUUACUCAGUUUGAAUUGACCCACUCGUGUUGCCAGAGUAUAAAAACCUCAGCUAGGGUUGGUUAUUGGUUCAAAAGCUCUGCCAUUGUAGAAAUUGAGAUUUAAUAUCAAAAUGCAUUAUGGCUGGGGGGAUAAUAAUUACAACCAGGGUGGAAGAAAAAGAAACGGCGGUAGAAAAUCAAUGAAGAAAACUAAAGGCGUCGAUUUUGGUGGUGCAACCGUUGGACCUCACAAAUCCAAACAAUACUCAAACAAUCAAGAGUCUUAUGUGCCACACACAUCAUCUUUAAGUUUUGUGUUGGAUUUGGUUUGGCAGCACUAGGGUUUUGGUUUUUGAGUUCAGUG
This 1048-nucleotide long non-coding RNA is filed under the name Helianthus annuus (common sunflower). The record is from RNAcentral. Lineage: Eukaryota; Viridiplantae; Streptophyta; Magnoliopsida; Asterales; Asteraceae.